This 95-nucleotide non-coding RNA is filed under the name Cupriavidus taiwanensis. Lineage: Bacteria; Pseudomonadati; Pseudomonadota; Betaproteobacteria; Burkholderiales; Burkholderiaceae. The record is from RNAcentral.
UUCCAUGGGCGGGCCCUGGCAGGGGAGCCCCUCGGGGCUCGCCGGCUUGCUCCUAUUCCCGGUCUGCUAACCCUGCCUUGCGCCCGCCCACCCCA